RNAcentral lists this long non-coding RNA (221 nucleotides) under Elaeis guineensis (African oil palm). RNAcentral's name for it is "long non-coding RNA (EGUI_LNC034389)". The record is from RNAcentral. Lineage: Eukaryota; Viridiplantae; Streptophyta; Magnoliopsida; Arecales; Arecaceae.
AUCUACUUAACUCGAUUAUCCUAUAUCUUUAGACUUCACAGGUAAUCAUAUAUAAAAUAUCAAAUCAUCAUCAAUUUCUAUUCGAUGAAUAUGAUAAGAUUAAAUCAUAAGGAAAGAAGACUAUUGACUGGAUGUGAUAGACCAUCCAGACACCAAGGUAAUUCAGGAUCUCCAAGCUGAUGGUCAAAUUUAAGCAACUUGAUCAAGAAAUCAUGAAGCAC